This 66-nucleotide transfer RNA is filed under the name Myotis vivesi (fish-eating bat). Its description in RNAcentral is "tRNA-Cys". It matches the Rfam family "tRNA". Rfam says of the family: Transfer RNA (tRNA) molecules are approximately 80 nucleotides in length. Their secondary structure includes four short double-helical elements and three loops (D, anti-codon, and T loops). The record is from RNAcentral. Lineage: Eukaryota; Metazoa; Chordata; Mammalia; Chiroptera; Vespertilionidae.
AGUCCUGUGGUGUAUCACAUAUUGAAUUGCAAAUUCAAAGAAGCAGAUUUAAUUCUGCUGGGGCUU